RNAcentral lists this ribosomal RNA (75 nucleotides) under Escherichia coli. RNAcentral's name for it is "partial 16S ribosomal RNA". It matches the Rfam family "Bacterial small subunit ribosomal RNA", at positions 1 to 75 of the family's 1533-position model. The record is from RNAcentral. Lineage: Bacteria; Pseudomonadati; Pseudomonadota; Gammaproteobacteria; Enterobacterales; Enterobacteriaceae.
AAAUUGAAGAGUUUGAUCAUGGCUCAGAUUGAACGCUGGCGGCAGGCCUAACACAUGCAAGUCGAACGGUAACGG